ACCAGGAUGGCUGAGAGGUUAAGGCGUUGGACUUAGGAUCCAAUGGAUUUGUAUCCGCGUGGGUUUGCACCCCACUCCUGGUA
This is a non-coding RNA of Hyla sarda, 83 nucleotides long. Lineage: Eukaryota; Metazoa; Chordata; Amphibia; Anura; Hylidae. The record is from the annotation of a RefSeq genome assembly.